UAGAGCAAUUUUUUAAUACUAACACUUUUUUAUAGUUUAUAAUACAAUGACCCACAUGGUUCCUGUCCCAGGAUAGUAUUGUGAUUUAAAAUAUGCAAUCCUUGCAAACAAAUCUAAUUUCAACUUCAAAAUAAAUCAAGUCUUUUCUUUUAUUCCCUGAAUAGUAUGAUGAGGAUACAUGAGUCUCAGCAAUUCUUCUUAAAAUCCUCUUUCUUUCCUCCAUCCCCAUCUGUCACUGUCAUACAUGAUUUAUUUCUGGACCUUUCUCCUCAAAUCCUCCAAAAACUCUCCCCUACCUUCAGUUUCUUCUACUAGUUUCUACUAUUAUACUCUUUUCUACUAUUUUCAACUUAUCUUUCCUCUCCUAGCCCCUCAUUAUAUAAAUUGACAUUAUAUGUAAAUAGGACAUUAUAUAUAAAUCGACACUAAAUUGUCCUCUUUCAUCCUCCCACUAUUCCCAUUUAUAUCUUUGUUCUCCUAUUCUUUUUCUAAGAGAACUGGCAAGACACCUUUUCAGGGGGAAAAAAACGACUGAGCAAAGCUGAAAAUAUCUCUUUUGUAGACAGGUUGUAAAUAUGAGAAAGACAAAAACUCUUCAUACCACCAGUAAUUUUGGGUUUGCUACACUGUAAUAGCUACAAAAUAUAUACUGAGUUUUCCAUAAAAAUAUAAAGCUGUUCAAUGAAGACUCUCUAAACUUAAAAUUCUGAAGCCCCCUUUCAUUCCAUACCGUAAUUUUUAAAUAACAUCAGCAGCAAGAGCCUAAUAAAUUGAAGGUUCCCUCCACUUGUUUUUAAGGACCUCAGAGAGUUUCAAACCUAGAAGAAAAUAGUGUUAGUGUGACUGCUUUUGCUCUUACACUUUCCUGCUUUGGAGAGUUGCCGUGAUCUGGAUUGAAAUUUUGGCCCUAAGCACCAUGAAAUCCCCGCCCCCCCGUGAUAUGAUGUGAGUCCCAAGAAACAUCUGGGGAUUUUGCGUAACGAGUCUCUAAAUCUUCAUUUCCCCAUGCGGCAAACAUACAGGUUGCACACUAUGAUUUAAUCAGCUGCCUUUAGAAAAACAGGCACUUAGAAUUCUAACAUACUGGAACCAGUUGUGGUAUUUUGAAAGUCACAGCAGGACCAGCUCACACCCUAGGACAGCUCUCAGUCGAGUUCUUUCUCUCAUAGUUCUCUUCUUUGUACAAAGCAAACUUUUCUUCCUUCGGUCAAAAGGACACAGCUAUCGACAUGAAAGCACAGUUCUCUUGUCUCAUGAAUCACAGAGUGACUUGGUUCCACAUUAGGUCACCAUAGAACACAGACUGUAACAGGAACACAUAAAAAUCCUAAAAGGGGAGGGGAGAGACGCUGUUCUGGAAUAUCGUUGCCAGAGUAACAUAAACCUUGUGUGUUUUCACAAGGAAAUGAGUCACUUGUUUCUGUUGGCUAAAACUCUGUUUUCUUUAAUUUCAUAUUUUAGUUGUCUAAUAUAUGCCGAAAGAGCCCAGGGUUUCCAGUCUUCAAAUGAAGCUAUCUUGCUAAUUAAGAACUCAACAGAGGGUUCGCAUGCACCCCAGGUGUGCUCAGGGCCUGAAAACCUGGGUUCAGACACCAGCUGGUUCUCUUGUUGCGAAGAGCUGCUUUUCUAAUUGUUUCCAAGAAGAGAAUGGUCAGCUACAAACUACUUCAUCAUAAGCAGAAGCAAAAAUCCAUAUCGUUUUAAGUGUGGGUUCUGGGGAGCCCUUGCUAUAGAAAUUAAGAGGAGCUACCAGAAGAUAUUUGCCCUGAGAAUACUCACUGGUGACCAUACCCAAGAGUCAGCAUAACUGGUUAUAACCACAAUUCUUCAAAACUACAACAAAACAUAGACCAGUCAUUCAACUUUCUGCACUUAAUAUACAAGGACAUUAACUGUUCUUCCUAAUUGAUAGAGUUGUCAUGAGAAAAGGUAUUUAUUUGUUUGGAAAAGUAAAUGUAUGCACAUUAAGAGUGUCGUCAAUUAGUUCUACAUGAUUGAAUAUUUGUUUGUUUCUCUAGCUGUUCUUUGGAUGAAUGUCUUUCUCUUUCAACUAUUCUGUAAAUACUUUAAGGACAGAGCCUAUGUCCUCUACUCCCAUUUUAUUUCCUGCAGUUUUCAGUACUGUGUAAUUCACAAACUAAGCAUUGUUUAAAUGUGUUACUGAAAAAAUGCCACUUUAUCCUGUGUCCGUGUAUGUUAAAGUAUUCUGAAGUACAUUAUGAGCCUCCUUUUGAUUUUUAUCAAUUGAUGUUUGUAAAUCUCAACUAGCGAUUCAUAAUGUUAUGUGCUGACAAA
This is a long non-coding RNA of Pteropus alecto (black flying fox), 2295 nucleotides long. RefSeq lists it as uncharacterized. The record is from RefSeq and is a predicted model, not a curated record. The transcript has 3 exons. Lineage: Eukaryota; Metazoa; Chordata; Mammalia; Chiroptera; Pteropodidae.